GCCACGACCGCCAUUGGAGUUCCAGCCACCACCGGAGAAAAGAAAAUGCCCUCCUUAUACAGGCAUGGCUCAAUUUGUGAGUCGCUUUGCUGAACCUGGAGAACCAGAGUAUGCUCCACCUAAGCCGGAAGUUGAAACACCUGCACAAAAAAGGGAGAGAAUUCAUAAAUCCAGACUGGAGAAA
This is a non-coding RNA of Camelina sativa (false flax), 184 nucleotides long. The record is from RefSeq and is a predicted model, not a curated record. Lineage: Eukaryota; Viridiplantae; Streptophyta; Magnoliopsida; Brassicales; Brassicaceae.